This 490-nucleotide ribosomal RNA is filed under the name uncultured bacterium. RNAcentral describes it as "partial 16S ribosomal RNA". It matches the Rfam family "Bacterial small subunit ribosomal RNA", at positions 30 to 507 of the family's 1533-position model. The record is from RNAcentral.
AUUGAACGCUGGCGGCAUGCCUUACACAUGCAAGUCGAACGGCAGCACGAUCUAGCUUGCUAGAUUGAUGGCGAGUGGCGCACGGGUGAGUAAUACACCGCAACGUGCCCUGUUGCGGGGGAGAACACGUCGAAAGACUAGCUAUUACCCCACACGCCCCCAGGGUGAAAGAGGGGGACCGCAAGGCCCCUUGCUCGAGUAGCUGCCGAUGUCUGAUUAGCUAGUUGGUGGGGUAAAGGCUCACCAAGGCGACGAUCAGUAGCUGGUCUGAGAGGACGAUCAGCCACACUGGAACUGAGACACGGCCCAGACUCCUACGGGAGGCAGCAGUGGGGAAUUUUGGACAAUGGGCGAAAGCCUGAUCCAGCAAUGCCGCGUGUGUGAAGAAGGCCUUCGGGUUGUAAAGCACUUUUGUCCGGAAAGAAAUGGAUCUGGUUAAUACCUGGGGUCGAUGACGGUACCGGAAGAAUAAGGACCGGCUAACUACGUG